GAUGAACGCUGGCGGCGUGCCUAAUACAUGCAAGUCGAGCGAACAGACGAGGAGCUUGCUCCUCUGACGUUAGCGGCGGACGGGUGAGUAACACGUGGAUAACCUACCUAUAAGACUGGGAUAACUUCGGGAAACCGGAGCUAAUACCGGAUAAUAUAUUGAACCGCAUGGUUCAAUAGUGAAAGACGGUUUUGCUGUCACUUAUAGAUGGAUCCGCGCCGCAUUAGCUAGUUGGUAAGGUAACGGCUUACCAAGGCGACGAUGCGUAGCCGACCUGAGCGGGUGAUCGGACACACUGGAACUGAGACACGGUCCAGACUCCUACGGGAGGAAGCAGUAGGGAAUCUUACGCAAUGGGCGAAAGCCUGACGGAGCAACGCCGCGUGAGUGAUGAAGGUCUUCGGAUCGUAAAACUCUGUUAUUAGGGAAGAACAAAUGUGUAAGUAACUAUGCACGUCUUGACGGUACCUAAUCAGAAAGCCACGGCUAACUACGUG
Molecule: ribosomal RNA, 497 nt
Filed under: uncultured bacterium
Lineage: Bacteria
Description: partial 16S ribosomal RNA
Rfam family: Bacterial small subunit ribosomal RNA
Source: RNAcentral